Molecule: non-coding RNA, 222 nt
Organism: Pelobates cultripes (western spadefoot toad)
Lineage: Eukaryota; Metazoa; Chordata; Amphibia; Anura; Pelobatidae
Source: the annotation of a GenBank genome assembly
CAAAUACACAUACUACAGCCCCUAUACACACACAUGCUAAAGCUCCUAUAAACACACAUACUACAGCUCCUAUACACACACACUAAAGCUCCUAUACACAUACACAAACACUACAGCUCCCACACACACACAGAAACACACACGCACACUUUCAUACACAAACACACACACAUACUACAGCCCCUAUACACGCACAUGCUAAAGCUCCUAUACACACACACA